Molecule: transfer RNA, 70 nt
Filed under: Tettigades ulnaria
Lineage: Eukaryota; Metazoa; Arthropoda; Insecta; Hemiptera; Cicadidae
Description: tRNA-Lys
Source: RNAcentral
CAUUAAGUGACUGAAAGUAAGUGAUGGUCUCUUAAACCAAAAAAUAGUAACUAACAAUUACUCUUAAUGG